GGGAUUAGAUACCCCACUAUGCUUAGCCUUAAACCUAGAUGUUAAACUUACAAGCAACAUCCGCCAGGGUACUACAAGCGCUAGCUUAAAACCCAAAGGACUUGACGGUGUCUCAGACCCACCUAGAGGAGCCUGUUCUAGAACCGAUAAUCCCCGUUAAACCUCACCACCCCUUGUUUUCCCCGCCUAUAUACCGCCGUCGCAAGCUUACCCUGUGAAGGUCCCAUAGUAAGCAAAAUGGGUAUGUCCCAGAACGUCAGGUCGAGGUGUAGCUUACGAGGUGGAAAGAAAUGGGCUACAUUUUCUAAAUCAGAAUAACACGAACGGCACUAUGAAACUAGUACCUGAAGGUGGAUUUAGCAGUAAAAAACAAAUAGAGAGUCUUUUUGAAUCAGGCUCUGAGACGCGCACACACCGCCCC
This 421-nucleotide ribosomal RNA is filed under the name Eretmobrycon bayano. Its description in RNAcentral is "partial 12S ribosomal RNA". It matches the Rfam family "Bacterial small subunit ribosomal RNA", at positions 774 to 1396 of the family's 1533-position model. Lineage: Eukaryota; Metazoa; Chordata; Actinopteri; Characiformes; Stevardiidae. The record is from RNAcentral.